This 497-nucleotide ribosomal RNA is filed under the name uncultured bacterium. RNAcentral's name for it is "partial 16S ribosomal RNA". It matches the Rfam family "Bacterial small subunit ribosomal RNA", at positions 28 to 507 of the family's 1533-position model. The record is from RNAcentral.
GAUGAACGCUGGCGGCGUGCCUAAUACAUGCAAGUCGAGCGAACAGACGAGGAGCUUGCUCCUUCGACGUUAGCGGCGGACGGGUGAGUAACACGUAGGUAACCUACCUAUAAGACUGGGAUAACUUCGGGAAACCGGAGCUAAUACCGGAUAAUAUUUUGAACCGCAUGGUUCGAUAGUGAAAGAUGGUUUUGCUAUCACUUAUAGAUGGAUCUGCGCCGUAUUAGCUAGUUGGUAAGGUAACGGCUUACCAAGGCAACGAUACGUAGCCGACCUGAGAGGGUGAUCGGCCACACUGGAACUGAGACACGGUCCAGACUCCUACGGGAGGCAGCAGUAGGGAAUCUUCCGCAAUGGGCGAAAGCCUGACGGAGCAACGCCGCGUGAGUGAUGAAGGUCUUCGGAUCGUAAAACUCUGUUAUUAGGGAAGAACAAACGUGUAAGUAACUGUGCACAUCUUGACGGUACCUAAUCAGAAAGCCACGGCUAACUACGUG